GAUAGUGUGUCCGAGUGGUCUAUGGCGCUGAUUUAUGUCACCAGUCUCUUCGGGGGCAAGAGUUCGAAUCCCUUCACUGUCA
RNAcentral lists this transfer RNA (82 nucleotides) under Daphnia pulex (common water flea). It matches the Rfam family "tRNA". Rfam says of the family: Transfer RNA (tRNA) molecules are approximately 80 nucleotides in length. Their secondary structure includes four short double-helical elements and three loops (D, anti-codon, and T loops). Further hydrogen bonds mediate the characteristic L-shaped molecular structure. tRNAs have two regions of fundamental functional importance: the anti-codon, which is responsible for specific mRNA codon recognition, and the 3' end, to which the tRNAs corresponding amino acid is attached (by aminoacyl-tRNA synthetases). tRNAs cope with the degeneracy of the genetic code in two manners: having more than one tRNA (with a specific anti-codon) for a particular amino acid; and 'wobble' base-pairing, i.e. permitting non-standard base-pairing at the 3rd anti-codon position. The record is from Rfam by way of RNAcentral. Lineage: Eukaryota; Metazoa; Arthropoda; Branchiopoda; Diplostraca; Daphniidae.